AUGAAAAUCUUAAGCUGGAACUGUCGCGGGAUAGGAGAUCCUACGACAGUUCGUGAACUCCGCGACCUGGUGGAGCUUAGUUCACCAUCUAUUCUUUGCUUAGUUGAAACACAGUUACAAAAAAACCGUGUGGAAGGUCUUCGUUUCUCGUUAGGUUUUGAUUCCAGUUUUGCUGUUGGUAGUAGUGGUCGAAGUGGAGGUAUCUGUAUCUUUUGGAAAAACUCGUUGAAUGUUGAAAUAAAGAAUUUUUCGGAGUAUCAUGUGGACGCAUGGGUGCUUGAACCAGGAAGGGAACAGUGGCGUCUUUCUUGUUUUUACGGAGAAGCAACAAGAUCUCUCCGGUACAAAACUUGGAACACAACGACAAGGUUGAGAGGUGAGAGCACGCUUCCAUGGAUGUGCAUUGGUGACCUCAACGAAAUUCUGCGGCCCGAGGAACAAUUUGGCCCAAAUGAGCGUGACAGUGCAUAG
Molecule: ribosomal RNA, 471 nt
Filed under: Triticum aestivum (bread wheat)
Lineage: Eukaryota; Viridiplantae; Streptophyta; Magnoliopsida; Poales; Poaceae
Description: partial small subunit ribosomal RNA
Source: RNAcentral